UACCACCAUAAGACGAGAAGACCCUGCGGAGCUUUAAAAACACCACUUUUUAAGUUGGGGCGACUACGGAAACAAAAAAAACUUCCACGACCAGGGCUAGCCACCCAAAAAAGAUUGACACACCAACCCCACUGACUAACGAACCAAGUUACCCCAGGGAUAACAGCGCCAUCCUCUUAAAGAGCCCGUAUCGCCAAGAGGGUUUACGACCUCGAUGUUGGAUCAGGGCCCCCCAGUGGCGCAGCCGCUACUAACGGUUCGUUUGUUCAACGACUAACGCCCUACGUGAUCUGAGUUCAGACCGGAGUAAUCCAGGUCGG
This 320-nucleotide ribosomal RNA is filed under the name Coleodactylus brachystoma. RNAcentral's name for it is "partial 16S ribosomal RNA". It matches the Rfam family "Bacterial large subunit ribosomal RNA", at positions 2070 to 2634 of the family's 2925-position model. Lineage: Eukaryota; Metazoa; Chordata; Lepidosauria; Squamata; Sphaerodactylidae. The record is from RNAcentral.